CCUCGGGAGGCAGCAGUGGGGAAUAUUGGACAAUGGGGGGAACCCUGAUCCAGCCAUGCCGCGUGUGUGAAGAAGGCCCUCGGGUUGUAAAGCACUUUCAGUGAGGAAGAACGCCUGGUGGUUAAUACCCAUCAGGAAAGACAUCACUCACAGAAGAAGCACCGGCUAACUCCGUGCCAGCAGCCGCGGUAAUACGGAGGGUGCGAGCGUUAAUCGGAAUUACUGGGCGUAAAGCGCGCGUAGGUGGCUUGAUAAGCCGGUUGUGAAAGCCCCGGGCUCAACCUGGGAACGGCAUCCGGAACUGUCAAGCUAGAGUGCAGGAGAGGAAGGUAGAAUUCCCGGUGUAGCGGUGAAAUGCGUAGAGAUCGGGAGGAAUACCAGUGGCGAAGGCGGCCUUCUGGACUGACACUGACACUGAGGUGCGAAAGCGUGGGUAGCAAACAGGAUUAGAUACCCGUGUAGUC
Molecule: ribosomal RNA, 464 nt
Filed under: Vreelandella stevensii
Lineage: Bacteria; Pseudomonadati; Pseudomonadota; Gammaproteobacteria; Oceanospirillales; Halomonadaceae
Description: partial 16S ribosomal RNA
Rfam family: Bacterial small subunit ribosomal RNA
Source: RNAcentral